Molecule: small nuclear RNA, 139 nt
Filed under: Echinops telfairi (small Madagascar hedgehog)
Lineage: Eukaryota; Metazoa; Chordata; Mammalia; Afrosoricida; Tenrecidae
Description: U4 spliceosomal RNA (ENSETEG00000021153.1)
Rfam family: U4 spliceosomal RNA
About the family: U4 small nuclear RNA (U4 snRNA) is a component of the major U2-dependent spliceosome. The structure of U4 snRNA from yeast and human has been reported. U4 snRNA presents a k-turn RNA motif in the 5p-SL related to recognition of Snu13 protein.
Source: RNAcentral
AGCUUUGCGCAGUGCAAUAUCGUAGCCAGUGAGGUUUAUCCGAGGCGCGAUUAUGCUAAUUGAAAACUUUUCCCAAUACCCCACCGUGACGACUUGAAAUAUAGUCGGCAUUGGCAAAUUUUGACAGCCUCUACAGAGA